Molecule: small nuclear RNA, 103 nt
Organism: Ochotona princeps (American pika)
Lineage: Eukaryota; Metazoa; Chordata; Mammalia; Lagomorpha; Ochotonidae
Source: Ensembl
CCGCUUAGGCAGCGCACAGACCAAAACUGAAACGAUGCUGAGAACUUCAGCAUAGUUCCUGCAUAAGGAUGACGUGUUAAUUCCUGAAACAUUCCAUAUUUUU